GGUUUGUUAAGUCAGAUGUGAAAGCCCGGGGCUCAACCUCGGAAUUGCAUUUGAAACUGGCAGACUAGAGUACUGUAGAGGGGGGUAGAAUUUCAGGUGUAGCGGUGAAAUGCGUAGAGAUCUGAAGGAAUACCGGUGGCGAAGGCGGCCCCCUGGACAGAUACUGACACUCAGAUGCGAAAGCGUGGGGAGCAAACAGGAUUAGAUACCCUGGUAGUCCACGCCGUAAACGAUGUCUACUUGGAGGUUGUGGCCUUGAGCCGUGGCUUUCGGAGCUAACGCGUUAAGUAGACCGCCUGGGGAGUACGGUCGCAAGAUUAAAACUCAAAUGAAUUGACGGGGGCCCGCACAAGCGGUGGAGCAUGUGGUUUAAUUCGAUGCAACGCGAAGAACCUUACCUACUCUUGACAUCCAGAGAACUUUCCAGAGAUGGAUUGGUGCCUUCGGGAACUCUGAGACAGGUGCUGCAUGGCUGUCGUCAGCUCGUGUUGUGAAAUGUUGGGUUAAGUCCCGCAACGAGCGCAACCCUUAUCCUUGUUUGCCAGCGAGUAAUGUCGGGAACUCCAGGGAGACUGCCGGUGAUAAACCGGAGGAAGGUGGGGACGACGUCAAGUCAUCAUGGCCCUUACGAGUAGGGCUACACACGUGCUACAAUGGCGCAUACAGAGGGCGGCCAACUUGCGAAAGUGAGCGAAUCCCAAAAAGUGCGUCGUAGUCCGGAUUGGAGUCUGCAACUCGACUCCAUGAAGUCGGAAUCGCUAGUAAUCGUGGAUCAGAAUGCCACGGUGAAUACGUUCCCGGGCCUUGUACACACCGCCCGUCACACCAUGGGAGUGGGCUGCAAAAGAAGUAGGUAGUUUAACCUUCGGGGGGACGCUUACCACUUUGUGGUUCAUGACUGGGGUGAAGUCGUAACAAGGUAGCGCUAGGGGAACCUGGCGCUGGAUCACCUCCUUAAACGAUGAU
This 966-nucleotide ribosomal RNA is filed under the name Vibrio parahaemolyticus. RNAcentral describes it as "bacterial SSU rRNA". It matches the Rfam family "Bacterial small subunit ribosomal RNA", at positions 577 to 1533 of the family's 1533-position model. Lineage: Bacteria; Pseudomonadati; Pseudomonadota; Gammaproteobacteria; Vibrionales; Vibrionaceae. The record is from RNAcentral.